RNAcentral lists this ribosomal RNA (1234 nucleotides) under metagenome. RNAcentral describes it as "bacterial LSU rRNA". It matches the Rfam family "Bacterial large subunit ribosomal RNA", at positions 1564 to 2808 of the family's 2925-position model. The record is from RNAcentral.
UGAUGACGAGACGCUAAGGCGUUGAAGCAGUGUAUGUCAGACUUCCAAGAAAAGCUCGCAAUGUCACAAAUAAAAGAUGCCUGUACCAUAACCGACACAGGUGGGUAGGUAGAGUAUACUAAGGGGCGCGAGAUAACUCUCUCUAAGGAACUCGGCAAAAUGACUCCGUAACUUCGGGAGAAGGAGUGCCUUAUUUAUAAGGUUGCAAUAACAAGAUCCAAGCAACUGUUUAUCAAAAACACAGGUCUCCGCUAAGUCGUAAGACGAUGUAUGGGGGCUGACGCCUGCCCAGUGCCAGAAGGUUAAAGAAGUUGGUUAGUGUAUGCGAAGCUGAUGACUGAAGCCCUGGUGAACGGCGGCCGUAACAAUAACGGUCCUAAGGUAGCGAAAUUCCUUGUCGGGUAAGUUCCGACCCGCACGAAAGGCGUAAUGAUUUGGAUACUGUCUCGGAGAGAGGCUCGGUGAAAUAGACUUGUCUGUGAAGAUGCGGACUACCUGCACCAGGACAGAAAGACCCUAUGAAGCUUUACUGUAACUUGAAAUUGGAAUUGGACUUUGCUUGCGCAGUAUAGGUGGGAAGCGUUGAAAAUAUUCUUGCGGGAGUAUUGGAGCUAUCAGUGAGAUACCACUCUUGUAAUGUUAGAUUUCUAACUUUGAACCAUAAUCUGGUCAAAGAACAGUUUCAGGUGGGCAGUUUGACUGGGGCGGUCGCCUCCCAAAUGGUAACGGAGGCGUACAAAGGUUUCCUCUGAACGGAUAGAAAUCGUAUCUAGAGUGUAAAGGCAUAAGGAAGCUUGACUGUGAGACCUACAAGUCGAGCAGGGACGAAAGUCGGUCUUAGUGAUCUGACGGUACUGAGUGGAAAGGCCGUCACUCAACGGAUAAAAGUUACUCUAAGGAUAACAGGCUGAUCUCCCCCAAGAGUUCACAUCGACGGGGAGGUUUGGCACCUCGAUGUCGGCUCAUCGCAUCCUGGGACGGUAGUACGUCCCAAGGGUUGGGCUGUUCGCCCAUGAAAGCGGUACGCGAGCGGGUUCAGAACGUCGUGAGACAGUUCGGUCCAUAUCCGGUGUAGGCGCUAGAAUAUUGAGAGGAGCCUUCUUUAGUACGAGAGGACCGAGAAGGACACACCGCUGGUGUACCAGUUAUCGUGCCAACGGUAAACGCUGGGUAGCUAUGUGUGGAGUGGAUAACCGCUGAAAGCAUCUAAGUGGGAAGCCCACCUCGAGAUGAG